CCUGGAGGACCACACAACAUAGAGAUUGGCGGAACAGCGGCGCAGAGCGGCUGGAACAAAGAGGUGCCGCUUCCGCGUUUUUCCCGCACAUGCGCAGUACGCUCGGGAGGACCUACUACCAUAGAGACAGGCGGCACAGAGCGGAGGCAGCAGAGCGACGCGCUGCACAGCUCCGGGUGGUGCUGUGCGGGACAAUGUGGACCCCAGGAGGCGUCCAGAAUGCCCGGAGUGCUCCCGGAGCUCCUCGGCCCUCCACUUCCCCAUAAAUCCUCCGCCACCGCCGUCCACGCCCCGCACUACAGCCAUUGCACCACUGCGCGUGCGCCGAGCAGCGCCUGCAGUACCAGGUCCGAACGGGGGCCACCUGUUACCAUAGAGAUUGGCAGAGUGACAGCACAGAGCGGUCAGAGCGAAGAGUCGCCACUUCCGGGAUUCCAAACGCAUGCGUGUUAGUGCCUGGAGGACCUUUGACCAUAGAGACGGGAGGCGCAGAGCGGAGCCGGUAGAACGCUGCCGCUGCAGUUCCGCGCUUUGGCCACGCGGGGGCGGCAGAGACCGAGAGCGGCCGCGGCUGCGCGCGGGGCGCCCCGUGCUCUUUUUUUCCUUCCGAUUUCGGGUGAAGAACGCAACGUUGGAAGAGGAAAAAAAAGCAAAAAAGAAGAAAAGAAAGGAAAAAUUCUCCAGGCUCCGGAAGGCUGCGUUCAUCGUUCGCGAAUUUCGGUGUUAAAAAAAAAAAAAAAAAAAAAAGAUGGAAUCAGCGCUCAGCUCCUGCGCCGCCAACCGCUGGCUGCUUAAGGACGCUGCGGGUGCUGAACUUGGUUUUGGGGCUGAAACCGAGAUCUUCUCUUUUUUUUAUUGCUUUCUCCCUCCCAGGAGGACGGGGAGAAGCCAGAACUGAUAUCCCAGGAGGAAGGUGCUGGCUUCCCAAAGCCCCGCUCCCGCUUUGAGGCCAACGUGCAAAGCAGCAGAGCUGGGAAGGUGCGAGGACAUCCCGGCCCCGAGUUCAGGGCACCCUUAGCAAAGCGUUGUGACCGUUCCGGAGGAGGAGCUCGGCUUGGGCAUCCUUGUUGGGGCUGCACCGUUGCAGCUCCUGCUGGGCCAGCGUGGGUUUCGUGCGCUGAGCGAUGCUGCACGCCGUUCCCUUCCGACGGCGGCAGCUUCCUCGUGGGAGAGGGAGGAGUAAAAAAUAAAAUAUAUAUAUAUAUAUAUAUAUACACACACACACAAAAGCACUAAACCGAAGCGGGGAGAAAAAUCAAGAGUGUUUGCUGACUGUCUGCUGCGCCUCGGCGGUGUUUGUUGUGUUUUUGCCAUUGCUUUGGCAACACCCUGGGGGGGGGGGCAAGGCACACCAGGCUGCAGCGCUGCGGGGAGCAGGGCUCUGCUGAGCGAGGCUGCCCUGGCUGGGAUGUGCAUGGGGCUGCCCUGGCACCCAGCUCGGCUGCUGCCCUGCUGAGAGUAGAGCGGUGCUUGCUCGCUCCCUCUUUGGGCUGCGCUUUCCUCUUCCAAGCCAGGAAGAGGGGGGCUGGUGGGUCUGGCUGGUUCUCGUUGGGUGUAGGGAAGGCAGCGAGCGUGGCUGUUCCCCACGGCGGUCGGGGGUCGUGUGGGUGUGCGGGCUCAUCCCCUCCUUUCUGUUCUCGUGGGUGGAGGGUGCAGCUCGCCGGGAGUGAGCUGACGUGGGAAGCGCCGUGGGCGCCCUGGGAGGCGUCGCUCAUAAAUGGGUGCCCCGAGGCACGGCGUGAUGCAGCCCCCACCUCCAGCAGCUCCCGCUUUGCAGGGAGGGGUGGUCCCUGCCCGCGCUGUGGCUGGGGCAGACGCGGGGGGCAGGGGGGUGGUGACGUCCCCAUCCGCCUCCAGAGCGGUGCCAGGAGCCCUGCAGCGUCCCCCUGGGUACAGAAUUCGGGGGUGGGUGAAGGCUUUGCCCUUUGGAGGCCGGGAAAGGCUCCGGA
Long non-coding RNA from Numida meleagris (helmeted guineafowl), 1949 nucleotides. RefSeq lists it as uncharacterized. The record is from RefSeq and is a predicted model, not a curated record. Lineage: Eukaryota; Metazoa; Chordata; Aves; Galliformes; Numididae. The transcript has 3 exons.